GUUUCAAUUCCUCAUAGGCAGGCUAUCGGCUCCGUAGUUCUCGUUUUCCGGACCGCCGAAGAGGUG
This 66-nucleotide small RNA is filed under the name Acididesulfobacillus acetoxydans. RNAcentral describes it as "Peptococcaceae bacterium INE non-coding RNA". The record is from RNAcentral. Lineage: Bacteria; Bacillati; Bacillota; Clostridia; Eubacteriales; Peptococcaceae.